RNAcentral lists this long non-coding RNA (356 nucleotides) under Homo sapiens (human). RNAcentral's name for it is "HSALNT0156286". The record is from RNAcentral. Lineage: Eukaryota; Metazoa; Chordata; Mammalia; Primates; Hominidae.
ACACACACCGCAUACACACACAUAUGCACACAAAUGCACACACACCACAUACACACGCACACACACACCACAUACACACACACCACAUACACACAUGCACACACACACAUGCACACACACAUACCACAUACACACUGUGGCAGGCCCAGGGAUGGGCAUGUGGUCUCGCCCCGCCAAGGAGACACAGUUACACCUGAAGGGGAUGUCCUUCUUUUCUUCCUGCUGUGGGAUAUGGAGCAGUGUCUUGGACCAGGAAGUGGGAAUGGAAUGUCUUGGGCGUGGAGCCCACCCUUCCAGAACAGAUAGGACAGACUGGGGGGUCUGAAGGCACCGUGGGUCCUCAGCUAGCCCUCCCC